This 696-nucleotide ribosomal RNA is filed under the name uncultured bacterium. RNAcentral's name for it is "bacterial SSU rRNA". It matches the Rfam family "Bacterial small subunit ribosomal RNA", at positions 60 to 766 of the family's 1533-position model. The record is from RNAcentral.
AGCACUUUGCUUAGAUUCUUCGGAUGAAGAGGAUUGUGACUGAGCGGCGGACGGGUGAGUAACGCGUGGGUAACCUGCCUCAUACAGGGGGAUAACAGUUAGAAAUGACUGCUAAUACCGCAUAAGACCACAGCACCGCAUGGUGCGGGGGUAAAAACUCCGGUGGUAUGAGAUGGACCCGCGUCUGAUUAGCUAGUUGGUAAGGUAACGGCCUACCAAGGCGACGAUCAGUAGCCGACCUGAGAGGGUGACCGGCCACAUUGGGACUGAGACACGGCCCAAACUCCUACGGGAGGCAGCAGUGGGGAAUAUUGCACAAUGGGGGAAACCCUGAUGCAGCGACGCCGCGUGAGCGAAGAAGUAUUUCGGUAUGUAAAGCUCUAUCAGCAGGGAAGAAAAUGACGGUACCUGACUAAGAAGCACCGGCUAAAUACGUGCCAGCAGCCGCGGUAAUACGUAUGGUGCAAGCGUUAUCCGGAUUUACUGGGUGUAAAGGGAGCGUAGACGGAUGGGCAAGUCUGAUGUGAAAACCCGGGGCUCAACCCCGGGACUGCAUUGGAAACUGUUCAUCUAGAGUGCUGGAGAGGUAAGUGGAAUUCCUAGUGUAGCGGUGAAAUGCGUAGAUAUUAGGAGGAACACCAGUGGCGAAGGCGGCUUACUGGACAGUAACUGACGUUGAGGCUCGAAAGCGUGGGG